This 253-nucleotide ribosomal RNA is filed under the name uncultured bacterium. Its description in RNAcentral is "partial 16S ribosomal RNA". It matches the Rfam family "Bacterial small subunit ribosomal RNA", at positions 524 to 776 of the family's 1533-position model. The record is from RNAcentral.
UACGUAGGGUGCGAGCGUUGUCCGGAAUUACUGGGCGUAAAGAGCUCGUAGGUGGUUUGUCGCGUUGUUCGUGAAAACUCACAGCUUAACUGUGGGCGUGCGGGCGAUACGGGCAGACUGGAGUACUGCAGGGGAGACUGGAAUUCCUGGUGUAGCGGUGGAAUGCGCAGAUAUCAGGAGGAACACCGGUGGCGAAGGCGGUCUGCUGGGCAGUAGCUGACACUGAGGCACGACAGCGUGGGGAGCAAACAGG